This 253-nucleotide ribosomal RNA is filed under the name uncultured bacterium. Its description in RNAcentral is "partial 16S ribosomal RNA". It matches the Rfam family "Bacterial small subunit ribosomal RNA", at positions 524 to 776 of the family's 1533-position model. The record is from RNAcentral.
UACAGAGGUCUCGAGCGUUAGGCGGAAUCACUGGGCUUAAAGCGUGUGUAGGCGGAUGUCUAAGUACCUUGUGAAAUCCCACGGCUUAACCGUGGAACAGCUUGGUAUACUGGAUGUCUUGAGCCAUCUAGGGGCGACUGGAACGAAUGGUGGAGCGGUGAAAUGCGUAGAUAUCAUUCGGAACGCCUGUGGUGAAAACGGGUCGCUGGGGAUGUGCUGACGCUGAGACACGAAAGCUAGGGGAGCAAACGGG